GCCUUUGUUAGUCUUGUAUUAUUUUAAUUUUAGUUUCUUGUGUACAAUUUGGAAAUUAGUAUGGCGUUCAUUAUCACUGAACUAGUAUAUAUUUGUUUAGGGGCCAGUUGAAGGACGCCUCCGUGUGCGGGAAUUUCUCGCUACAUUGAAGACCUGUUGGUGACCUUCUGCUGUUUUUUUCUAUGGUCGGGUUGUUGUCUCUUUGGCACAUUCCCCAUUUCCAUUCUCAAUUUUAUAU
RNAcentral lists this long non-coding RNA (238 nucleotides) under Mytilus galloprovincialis (Mediterranean mussel). Lineage: Eukaryota; Metazoa; Mollusca; Bivalvia; Mytilida; Mytilidae. The record is from RNAcentral.